This 700-nucleotide non-coding RNA is filed under the name Haemaphysalis flava. Lineage: Eukaryota; Metazoa; Arthropoda; Arachnida; Ixodida; Ixodidae. The record is from RNAcentral.
UAGUUAAAUUUGGCUACUUAGAAAAAUUACAUCUAAAUUCUUUAUAAAAAAUAUAAAUAACAUUUGAGUUUAGAAGAUUAAAUUUAUUUAAUAAUAAACAUUAUUGAUAUUUAGAUAGAUCUCUAGUUAAUUUUGUGCCAGCAACAGCGGUUAUACAAAAAGAGAUUUUUUUAAGUUAAAAACUUAAUUUUUUAAUUUAAAAUUAAAAUAGUUUAAAAGUUAAGGUGAAAUUUAACUUAAAUAAAUUUAAUUUUAAAUAAAGUAUAAAUUCAUUUAAUAAACUAGGAUUAGAUACCCUAUUAUUUAGAAAAGCAUAUUGUAAGUAUAUAUAGUAUAUGAAAACAAAAAAUUGUGGCGGUAUUUUAAGCUUUUCAGAGGAAUUUGCUCUUUAAUGGAUAAAACACCAAAAUCUUACUAAAAUUAGUCAAGUCAGUUUGUAUACCACUAUUUAAGUAAUAAUUCGUAAUUAUUACUAUAAUUUAAUAUAUAAAAAAAGUUAAGUCAAGGUGCAGCAAAAAUUUUAGAAUGAAGUGAAUUACAUUUCUUUUAAGAGGGAAUAAAUGAAAUAAAAAAUUUAGGAUUUGAAAGUAAAAUUUUAAUAAAAUGAAAAUUUGAAUUAAGCUCUAAAAUAUGUACAUAUCGCCCGUCGCUCUUUUAUGAAGAUAAGUCGUAACAAAGUUAAAGUACUGGAAAGUGCUUU